Molecule: ribosomal RNA, 253 nt
Filed under: uncultured bacterium
Lineage: Bacteria
Description: partial 16S ribosomal RNA
Rfam family: Bacterial small subunit ribosomal RNA
Source: RNAcentral
UACGUAGGGGGCUAGCGUUGUCCGGAUUCAUUGGGCGUAAAGCGCACGCAGGCGGCUUGGUAAGUCAUCGGUGAAAUCCCUCGGCCCAACCGGGGGGGGUCCGGCGAAACUGCCAGGCUUGAGGUCGGGAGGGGGAAGCGGAAUUCCGGGUGUAGUGGUGGAAUGCGUAGAUAUCCGGAGGAACACCAGUGGCGAAGGCGGCUUCCUGGCCCGAAUCUGACGCUGAGGUGCGAAAGCGUGGGGAGCGAUCCGG